GACGAACGCUGGCGGCGCGCCUAACACAUGCAAGUCGAACGAGCGAGAGAGAGCUUGCUUUCUCAAGCGAGUGGCGAACGGGUGAGUAACGCGUGAGGAACCUGCCUCAAAGAGGGGGACAACAGUUGGAAACGACUGCUAAUACCGCAUAAGCCCACGGCUCGGCAUCGAGCAGAGGGAAAAGGAGCAAUCCGCUUUGAGAUGGCCUCGCGUCCGAUUAGCUAGUUGGUGAGGUAAUGGCCCACCAAGGCGACGAUCGGUAGCCGGACUGAGAGGUUGAACGGCCACAUUGGGACUGAGACACGGCCCAGACUCCUACGGGAGGCAGCAGUGGGGAAUAUUGCACAAUGGGGGAAACCCUGAUGCAGCGACGCCGCGUGGAGGAAGAAGGUCUUCGGAUUGUAAACUCCUGUUGUUGAGGAAGAUAAUGACGGUACUCAACAAGGAAGUGACGGCUAACUACGUGCCGGCAGCCGCGGUAAAACGUAGGUCACAAGCGUUGUCCGGAAUUACUGGGUGUAAAGGGAGCGCAGGCGGGAAGACAAGUUGGAAGUGAAAUCCAUGGGCUCAACCCAUGAACUGCUUUCAAAACUGUUUUUCUUGAGUAGUGCAGAGGUAGGCGGAAUUCCCGGUGUAGCGGUGGAAUGCGUAGAUAUCGGGAGGAACACCAGUGGCGAAGGCGGCCUACUGGGCACCAACUGACGCUGAGGCUCGAAAGUGUGGGUAGCAAACAGGAUUAGAUACCCUGGUAGUCCACACUGUAAACGAUGAUUACUAGGUGUUGGAGGAUUGACCCCUUCAGUGCCGCAGUUAACACAAUAAGUAAUCCACCUGGGGAGUACGACCGCAAGGUUGAAACUCAAAGGAAUUGACGGGGGCCCGCACAAGCAGUGGAGUAUGUGGUUUAAUUCGACGCAACGCGAAGAACCUUACCAAGUCUUGACAUCCCUUGACGAUGCUGGAAACAGUAUUUCUCUUCGGAGCAAGGAGACAGGUGGUGCAUGGUUGUCGUCAGCUCGUGUCGUGAGAUGUUGGGUUAAGUCCCGCAACGAGCGCAACCCUUAUGGUCAGUUACUACGCAAGAGGACUCUGGCCAGACUGCCGUUGACAAAACGGAGAAAGGUGGGGAUGACGUCAAAUCAUCAUGCCCUUUAUGACUUGGGCUACACACGUACUACAAUGGCGUUAAACAAAGAGAAGCAAGACCGCGAGGUGGAGCAAAACUCAGAAACAACGUCCCAGUUCGGACUGCAGGCUGCAACUCGCCUGCACGAAGUCGGAAUUGCUAGUAAUCGCAGAUCAGCAUGCUGCGGUGAAUACGUUCCCGGGCCUU
This 1333-nucleotide ribosomal RNA is filed under the name uncultured bacterium. Its description in RNAcentral is "bacterial SSU rRNA". It matches the Rfam family "Bacterial small subunit ribosomal RNA", at positions 28 to 1382 of the family's 1533-position model. The record is from RNAcentral.